AGAAAAAAAGAAAAAAAAAAGAAUGAAAUUAAGAAGAUCGGUUUUCUGAGAAACCCACAAUAAAAUAAACUGUAGAAUACAAAACGAAAUACAGCUGCAGUAAAAGUAUGAAUAAUUCAAAAAUAUCUUACGGCUAAAGAACUGUCAACCGCAUUACAGCAAUCAGCAAACGAUCCGUCGAAUGAUACAUCCACUCCAUGAUUUAAGCAGUAUUCGUUCUGUCAUGUACUAUCAACGAAAAGUCUACAAUUUUUAUUUCGCAGUGAUAUUCCAAGACGGACGACGACUCGUUAAAAUAAUGUAGAUUAAGCGCGUUCGCGUACAUAGAUUUUCCCAUCGAUCGUCCUCGACGUGAGAUCAAUUAACGACAUCUGAAGCAGGUCUAAAAAAUAAGGAGGAGAGUAGAAUGUCCUCGGUUAUUUUAUAAUGCUGGACGAAGGCAGAGCAACCAGCGUAAAUGCACAGAAAAUGGUACGAGACAAAUCUCGACCAUAAACAAGUGCUCGAUAAAAAGUGGGUUGCGUCUAGAAAGAUUCAACUGCGCGGUGACGACCGUGCACAACUCCUCCCUAUCCUGAUGAUGUCGAUUAUUAAUCACAUGACGACGAUGAAGGUUGAAAGAAUCCAUAUAAAAUCCACUAAUGUAAAAUUAAAGAAAUAAUGUUACAUCAACGUUAAUCAAUUUGAAUGAAUUCCGAAUUAUCAACUAUUCCACGUAUAUAAAACGCACUUCCCAAAAAAUGUACAAUCGAACAAAAAAUAUACUCUGACGGCAAAUUACUAAAAGAAGUUUCGCUGAAAGAACACUGCUUAAUCGAAGAAUGAAUGUAUAAACUUAAACGGAAGACGUCUACUUUGUUGAACUCUAGCCAAAUCAAUCUUGCUUCUUUCUAGGAACAUGGGCCACACUGUGUUGUUAACGCUGACGAACAAAUUUACAGAAUCUACGCCCUGAAAAGAAAAAAGCUUGGUCAUAACACGUGCCAAUCAUUAUUCAAAAUGGUGGAUUCUGAGGCAGCAAGGAGGCUGUGGACCGCUGCGCUUGCGCAUUACGUCACCUUUGCAAUGGCUUCCCCACGUGCUUGUAA
Long non-coding RNA from Vespula vulgaris, 1088 nucleotides. RefSeq lists it as uncharacterized. NCBI's taxonomy places the organism in Eukaryota, Metazoa, Arthropoda, Insecta, Hymenoptera, Vespidae. The transcript has 2 exons. The record is from RefSeq and is a predicted model, not a curated record.